GGGCACAUCUGGAUGCAUUGGGCCAUUCCAUUUAAUGUAUACACCCCCUAUGGACGAGUUCAAUAAAAUUUGAACCCCUAAGAAAAAAAGAUCAAAGUGCUGACACCCCCCCCCCCCAAAAAUUUUUGCCUUAUCCCUCAGAAAAAGUGCAAAGAUCAAAGGAUGCCGAUGCACACAACCCCUCAGAAACGGCUUUUUCAACCCCCUCAGAAAUUCUAGUCCAUUGGGGGGGGGGGUGUAUAUUAAAUGGAUGGCCCAUUGCCACUUAAAGGGUUAAAAACGUAAAUACCACAGCACAACACUUGUACAUAUACAUAUACAAGUAAUACAACAGCAAUCCUUUUAUAUAU
Non-coding RNA from Paramuricea clavata, 350 nucleotides. The record is from the annotation of a GenBank genome assembly. NCBI's taxonomy places the organism in Eukaryota, Metazoa, Cnidaria, Anthozoa, Malacalcyonacea, Plexauridae.